CUGUAAAUUGCCAUUGAUACUGGAUUUCUUGAAUUAGUGUGAAGUGGUUAGAAUGUGUAGUGUAGCGGUGAAAUGCAUAGAUAUUACACAGAAUACCAAUUGCGAAGGCAGAUCACUAACACUAUAUUGACGCUGAGGGACGAAAGCGUGGGGAGCGAACAGGAUUAGAUACCCUGGUAGUCCACGCCGUAAACGAUGGAUACUAGCUGUUCGAUCUUCGGAUUGAGUGGCUAAGCGAAAGUGAUAAGUAUCCCACCUGGGGAGUACGUUCGCAAGAAUGAAACUCAAAGGAAUUGACGGGGGCCCGCACAAGCGGUGGAGCAUGUGGUUUAAUUCGAUGA
Molecule: ribosomal RNA, 341 nt
Filed under: uncultured Bacteroidota bacterium
Lineage: Bacteria; Pseudomonadati; Bacteroidota
Description: bacterial SSU rRNA
Rfam family: Bacterial small subunit ribosomal RNA
Source: RNAcentral